This 519-nucleotide ribosomal RNA is filed under the name Belosquilla laevis. RNAcentral describes it as "partial 16S ribosomal RNA". The record is from RNAcentral. Lineage: Eukaryota; Metazoa; Arthropoda; Malacostraca; Stomatopoda; Squillidae.
GUCUGCGCGCGCACUGAUGAUAAAAUUACAGGGCCGCGGUAUUCUGACCGUGCGAAAGUAGCAUAAUACUUAUUCUCCUAAGUAGAGGCUUGUAUGAAUGGUCAGACCAAAUGGUAGCUGUCUCACUACUUUAAAUAAAAUUUAAUAUUUAAUCUAAUAAAGCUUACAUAAAAUGAAAUGACGAACAAACCCAUACUAUAGCUUUAUAAUAUGUUCUUCUUAUGUAAGUUAUCCCGCUUAUUAAACUAUUUUAAGAAUCAUAUUAUUUUACCGGGGCGGUAAUGGUAUAAUUUGUCGAGAUUAACUGCUUUUCUUUUGUAUGACAUCUUUACUUGACAACUAAUUGAUCCAUUAUUAAUGAUCACAAGAACAAGUUACUUUAGGGAUAACAGCGUACUUCUUUUUGAGAAUCCUUAUCGCAAAAAAAGAUUGCGACCUCCAUCUUGAAUUACCGAUACCUUAAGGUGCAUCAAGUUUUAUCGGUAGAUCAGUUCGAUCUUCAAACCCUUACGUGAUCUG